RNAcentral lists this unclassified non-coding RNA (385 nucleotides) under soil metagenome. RNAcentral describes it as "partial contains 5.8S ribosomal RNA, internal transcribed spacer 2, and large subunit ribosomal RNA". The stretch from base 1 to 120 matches the Rfam family "5.8S ribosomal RNA", at positions 35 to 154 of the family's 154-position model. The record is from RNAcentral.
GAUGAAGAACGUAGCGAAAUGCGAUAAGUAAUGUGAAUUGCAGAAUUCAGUGAAUCAUCGAAUCUUUGAACGCACCUUGCACCCUUUGGCAUUCCGAAGGGUAUGCUCGUUUGAGUGUCAUUGUACUCUCACACUCUCCGAUCCUAUGGAUUCGGGGAGCGGUGGACUUGGGUGUUGCUGCCUUUCCCUGUGGCUCACCUCAAAUGCGUCAGUGCACCUCUUGGUUGGACAUAGUACGGCGUGAUAAGUGUCUUCGCCGGCACCUCGCAAGAGGGUGGCCGAUCGGGAGCUCUGCGCUUUCAAACCGUCUUCGGACAAUUUCUGACAUCUUGACCUCAAAUCGAGUAGGACUACCCGCUGAACUUAAGCAUAUCAAUAAGGGGGA